This 1260-nucleotide ribosomal RNA is filed under the name Papilio protenor demetrius. RNAcentral describes it as "partial 16S ribosomal RNA". The stretch from base 1070 to 1228 matches the Rfam family "Archaeal large subunit ribosomal RNA", at positions 2544 to 2703 of the family's 2987-position model. The record is from RNAcentral. Lineage: Eukaryota; Metazoa; Arthropoda; Insecta; Lepidoptera; Papilionidae.
GGGGGAAAAAUUAAUAAUAAAUUAUAAAAAAAAAAUUUUUAAAAAUAUAUUUUAAUGGGGGUUAAAGUAUAUAUAUAGAAAAAAUUUUAAAAUUUAUAGUGAAAUAGUAUUAUAAAAGAAUUUGGAAAUAGGGGAAAAUAAUUUAUGAAAAAGUAAAUUUAAUUUAUUGUAUCUUGUGUAACAGAGUUUAUUAAUAAUAAUUAUAAAAUAAUAAUUUCUCGAAUUUAAAAGAGUUAAUUAAUUAUAAAAGUUAAUGUGGAAUAAUUAUUUUUAAUAAUUAAUUAGAAAUGAAAUGUUAAUCGUUUUUAAAAAUAUCUAGUUUUUUUAGAAAAAAAUUUAAUUUUAAAUAUUAUAUUUAAAAUUUUUAUUUAUGAAAAUUUUAUUGAUUAAUAUUAAAUAUUUUAAGGGAUAAGCUUUAAAAUAAAUUUUUAUAAUAAAUUGUUUAAUUAUGUUAAAAUUAUAAAAUUUAAAUUGUUUUAAAAAUUAUAAUUUUUUAUAAAUAAUUUAAUUUAAAUUAAAAUUUAAGAAAAAAUUUAAAUUUUUAUAAAAAAAUAUAUUUUAAUAGAAUAAAAUUAGAUAUAAUGAUAAAAUUAGUAUAUAAUUUUUUUUUAAAAAAAAAAAUAUUAAAAGUUAAUUAAAGGAAUUCGGCAAAAUUUUAUAUUCACUUGUUUAUCAAAAACAUGUCUUUUUGGGAAUAAUUUAAAGUCUAAUCUGCCCACUGAUGAAUUAUUAAAGGGCUGCAGUAUUUUGACUGUACAAAGGUAGCAUAAUCAAUAGUCUCUUAAUUGGUGACUUGUAUGAAAGAUUGGAUGAGAUAUAUACUGUCUCUAAUUAAUUUAUAGAAGUUAAUUUUUUAGUAAAAAAGCUAAAAUAAUUUUAAAAGACGAGAAGACCCUAUAGAGUUUAAUAAUUUAUUUAAUUAUUAAUAAUAUAUAAUUUUUAAAAUUAAAAUUAAAUAAAUUAUUUUGUUGGGGUGAUAGAAAAAUUAAAUUAACUUUUUUUAAUUAUUAACAUUAAUUUAUGAUUAAAUGAUCCAUUUAUAAUGAUUAAAAGAAAAAAUUACCUUAGGGAUAACAGCGUAAUUUUUUUUUUUAGUUCAAAUAGGAAAAAAAGUUUGCGACCUCGAUGUUGGAUUAAGAUAAAAUUUAAAUGCAAAAGUUUAAAAUUUUGAUCUGUUCGAUCAUUAAAAUCUUACAUGAUCUGAGUUCAAACCGGUGUAAGCCAGGUUGGUUUCUAUCUUUAAAUAAUUAUAAUAUUUUA